UUGAAAGGGAAACGAUUGAAGUCAGUCAUACCAACGGGAAAUCAACCUUUUGAGCUUGGUCUCGUGGGUUUUGAAGAGUUUCAAAGCCUUCAGAUUCGCGGGAUUGGGAUCUCUUGGUGUACUUUUUCGUACGGUUAGUCAACAUCGGUUUUGAAUGUCAUAAAAUGACUGGAGGAAUGUAGCUUCGAUCUCGUAUUGAAGUGUUAUAGCCUUUGGUAGAUGUGAUGUUUGAGACCGAGGAUUGCAACGGAUACCCUUCAGGGCUAUUCGUCUGAUCUCUGAUACGUUGCCUUGAUGUUGAAAGCUUGCUUAUGAUGUUAGGGUAUUACGGUCAAAAGGUUAGAACGAAUUACAUUCGUUAAGGAUGUUGACGUA
RNAcentral lists this ribosomal RNA (375 nucleotides) under uncultured Glomeromycotina. Its description in RNAcentral is "LSU rRNA". Lineage: Eukaryota; Fungi; Glomeromycota. The record is from RNAcentral.